CGCGAAACCUUUACACUGCACGACAGUGCGAUAGGGGAACUCCGAGUGCGAGGGCAUAGAGCCCUCGCUUUUCUGCACCGUAAGGUGGUGCAGGAACAAGUGCUGGGCAAGACCGGUGCCAGCCGCCGCGGUAAUACCGGCAGCACGAGUGAUGGCCGAUCUUAUUGGGCCUAAAGCGUCCGUAGCUGGCCGUGCAAGUCCGUCGGGAAAUCCAGUGGCUCAACCUCUGGGCUUCCGGCGGAAACUGCUCGGCUUGGGACCGGAAGACUCGAGGGGUACGUUCGGGGUAGGAGUGAAAUCCCGUAAUCCUGAACGGACCACCGAUGGCGAAAGCACCUCGAGAGCACGGAUCCGACAGUGAGGGACGAAAGCUAGGGUCUCGAACCGGAUUAGAUACCCGGGUAGUCCUAGCUGUUAACGAUGCCCGCUCGGUUCGGCGCAGGCUACGAGCCUGUGCCGCGCCUCAGUGAAGACGUAAGCGGGCCGCCUGGGAAGUACGUCCGCAAGGAUGAAACUUAAAGGAAUUGGCGAGGGAGCACUACAACCGGAGGAGCCUGCGGUUUAAUUG
This 568-nucleotide ribosomal RNA is filed under the name haloarchaeon enrichment culture clone B1A-C46. RNAcentral describes it as "bacterial SSU rRNA". It matches the Rfam family "Archaeal small subunit ribosomal RNA", at positions 340 to 908 of the family's 1478-position model. Lineage: Archaea; Methanobacteriati; Methanobacteriota; Halobacteria; Halobacteriales. The record is from RNAcentral.